RNAcentral lists this long non-coding RNA (591 nucleotides) under Ictidomys tridecemlineatus (thirteen-lined ground squirrel). RNAcentral's name for it is "lncRNA (ENSSTOG00000032226.1)". Lineage: Eukaryota; Metazoa; Chordata; Mammalia; Rodentia; Sciuridae. The record is from RNAcentral.
UUUAAAACUUAUGAAUUGAUUAUUUUUGGAAUUUUCUAUUUUCUAUUUUCAGACUUGAGGUUGACCACAGGUAAUUGAAACUCAGAAAGUGAAACUUUGGAGAAGGGAGGACGACUGUAUUAUCCUGCCACAAACAAAAAUAGCUCCCUGUGCGUGGACAACGAGACUUUAUUUCUGAAACGGUGUGUUCUGUUAAUGGACAGAAGGCUUUUUGGGCCUGAAAGUGCAUGACGGGUUCAUUCUUCACGAAGAGCAGCCUCUUUCAUUUGAAUGGUGGAUGGUAUUUCGCCACAGUACCUGUUGCUGUUUGCAGAACUUGAGGAGCAUCUUUACAUGAGGUUCCACGAGGCCUUGGGCCCGUCCUCUAAACGGAGCAGAAGGACUUCACUAAGCUGGGAGGCCCUGGAAGGCGACCAUGACAGCUCUGGCGCCUCUUAAGCCCUGUCAGUCCCCUGGCUCUGGAGAGGAAGCUGAGAGGGACACACCCCCGUCUAGAUGGCUCCACGGGCCACCUACACACACGAGGCACAGCUAGUUAGACGGUGGGUUUUCCUAGUCCCAUGUAACCGCACGGAGUUCUGAGAAUGUGCU